AAAAGUGAAAGACGGUCUUGCUGUCACUUAUAGAUGGAUCCGCGCUGCAUUAGCUAGUUGGUAAGGUAACGGCUUACCAAGGCAACGAUGCAUAGCCGACCUGAGAGGGUGAUCGGCCACACUGGAACUGAGACACGGUCCAGACUCCUACGGGAGGCAGCAGUAGGGAAUCUUCCGCAAUGGGCGAAAGCCUGACGGAGCAACGCCGCGUGAGUGAUGAAGGUCUUCGGAUCGUAAAACUCUGUUAUUAGGGAAGAACAUAUGUGUAAGUAACUGUGCACAUCUUGACGGUACCUAAUCAGAAAGCCACGGCUAACUACGUGCCAGCAGCCGCGGUAAUACGUAGGUGGCAAGCGUUAUCCGGAAUUAUUGGGCGUAAAGCGCGCGUAGGCGGUUUUUUAAGUCUGAUGUGAAAGCCCACGGCUCAACCGUGGAGGGUCAUUGGAAACUGGAAAACUUGAGUGCAGAAGAGGAAAGUGGAAUUCCAUGUGUAGCGGUGAAAUGCGCAGAGAUAUGGAGGAACACCAGUGGCGAAGGCGACUUUCUGGUCUGUAACUGACGCUGAUGUGCGAAAGCGUGGGGAUCAAACAGGAUUA
This 596-nucleotide ribosomal RNA is filed under the name Staphylococcus aureus. RNAcentral's name for it is "bacterial SSU rRNA". It matches the Rfam family "Bacterial small subunit ribosomal RNA", at positions 196 to 780 of the family's 1533-position model. Lineage: Bacteria; Bacillati; Bacillota; Bacilli; Caryophanales; Staphylococcaceae. The record is from RNAcentral.